Molecule: ribosomal RNA, 506 nt
Filed under: uncultured bacterium
Lineage: Bacteria
Description: partial 16S ribosomal RNA
Rfam family: Bacterial small subunit ribosomal RNA
Source: RNAcentral
AGUGAACGCUGGCGGUAGGCCUAACACAUGCAAGUCGAACGGCAGCACAGGAGAGCUUGCUCUCUGGGUGGCGAGUGGCGGACGGGUGAGGAAUACAUCGGAAUCUACUCUGUCGUGAGGGAUAACGUAGGGAAACUUACGCUAAUACCGCAUACGACCUACGGGUGAAAGCAGGGGACCUUCGGGCCUUGCGCGAUUGAAUGAGCCGAUGUCGGAUUAGCUAGUUGGCGGGGUAAAGGCCCACCAAGGCGACGAUCCGUAGCUGGUCUGAGAGGAUGAUUAGCCACACUGGAACUGAGACACGGUCCAGACUCCUACGGGAGGCAGCAGUGGGGAAUAUUGGACAAUGGGCGCAAGCCUGAUCCAGCCAUACCGCGUGGGUGAAGAAGGCCUUCGGGUUGUAAAGCCCUUUUGUUGGGAAAGAAAUCCAGCUGGCUAAUACCCGGUUGGGAUGACGGUACCCAAAGAAUAAGCACCGGCUAACUCCGUGCCAGCCGCCGCGGUAA